Rosa rugosa (rugosa rose) is the source of this 1022-nucleotide long non-coding RNA. RefSeq lists it as uncharacterized. The record is from RefSeq and is a predicted model, not a curated record. The transcript has 3 exons. NCBI's taxonomy places the organism in Eukaryota, Viridiplantae, Streptophyta, Magnoliopsida, Rosales, Rosaceae.
ACCGUUUAAUUUGAUCGGUGAGUUGUUGUGGAGAUGCCACUGACAUUCGGUGGCCCAAUGCUCACAUUUGAUUAAAUUAUUCAUAAUUGGUAUUGUUUGGUUACAAGUAUUUACGAGUUUUACCCCCAAAUUACAUGUCUUGUUCAGCAAAAGCAUGGGUCUUCGUUUUUGGGUCAGAUCAAAAGAAUGGGUGAUGGCAGGAAAACCAAAAUUUGUUCCAAAAUUAUACUUUGUUUAUUGUAUUUGAAAUUGAAACCCACCCAAUAUCUACAACACUCGGUCUUAACAAACGAUCACUUUACCAAAAUUUAUGUAUGACCUAGCUCUCUCUCUCUCUCUCUCUCUCGAAACGAGAUUGAAGGCUGAAUCUUCUCAGAGACGUCGUCCAUGUUUGGCCUCUGUAAUCUCGCUUAGCUUGGAUUGCUUCAUCUUCUCCUCCAUAUCUAUAUGUAGCCUUUCAAGGAGGAGAUCAAGGAAUUCGAUCAAUCAUCAGAUGCUAUUGGGGCUUCGAUUCGGUUCAUUCUCUGACUUCUUGUUGUUGGAUUGCACAGGACGCGCCGCCUUAAACGAGCUCUCAUCUCAAGACUAUGGGAGAAUCAGAUUUUCAAAUUGGGUCAUGUAAUUGAAAGUGCUAAAGUGGUGGUAGCUGGAGUGUCAUGGCAAUUCACUGAAGGUAAUGUCCAGUCGGCCUUGUUAGAAGGGAAUCAAUGGAUUCUGUUUUGAAAAAGACUCUGACCAGGGAAUGAACCUUCACCCAAAAGAUUGGAAUGAAGCAAUCUCAAAUUGAAAUGUAGGAAUGUUAGGCUUUUGAUAUCCAUUUGAAGUGGCAUGGAACCAACUGAAGUUUAAUGACUUGCUGGGAAACUGAAAGAAUUUAAGAGGCUGUACGAAUUAACCUGCUGAAGACAUUGAGACAAUAUCAUGCAGUUUCCUUCUAGAGUUUAUACCAUUAUAUGAAACAUCAACUUUGUGGUAGGUUUAAGCUUUGUAAGUUGCAACAAGUUUCUUUAUUUCGGAUAAGG